CCUACGGGAGGCAGCAGUGGGGAAUUUUGGACAAUGGACGCAAGUCUGAUCCAGCCAUGCCGCGUGUGGGAAGAAGGCCUUCGGGUUGUAAACCACUUUUGUCAGGGAAGAAACGGCUCACUCUAAUACAGAGGGCUAAUGACGGUACCUGAAGAAUAAGCACCGGCUAACUACGUGCCAGCAGCCGCGGUAAUACGUAGGGUGCAAGCGUUAAUCGGAAUUACUGGGCGUAAAGCGUGCGCAGGCGGUUAUGCAAGACAGAUGUGAAAUCCCCGGGCUCAACCUGGGAACUGCAUUUGUGACUGCAUGGCUAGAGUACGGUAGAGGGGGAUGGAAUUCCGCGUGUAGCAGUGAAAUGCGUAGAUAUGCGGAGGAACACCGAUGGCGAAGGCAAUCCCCUGGACCUGUACUGACGCUCAUGCACGAAAGCGUGGGGAGCAAACAGGAUUAGAUACCCUGGUAGUCCACGCCCUAAACGAUGUCAACUGGUUGUUGGGAGGGUUUCUUCUCAGUAACGUAGCUAACGCGUGAAGUUGACCGCCUGGGGAGUACGGCCGCAAGGUUGAAACUCAAAGAUUAGACGCGNGAGAGAGCGACGACGACGACGAGGGAGGAGG
RNAcentral lists this ribosomal RNA (617 nucleotides) under uncultured bacterium. Its description in RNAcentral is "bacterial SSU rRNA". It matches the Rfam family "Bacterial small subunit ribosomal RNA", at positions 338 to 944 of the family's 1533-position model. The record is from RNAcentral.